Long non-coding RNA from Ictalurus punctatus (channel catfish), 1156 nucleotides. The record is from Ensembl. NCBI's taxonomy places the organism in Eukaryota, Metazoa, Chordata, Actinopteri, Siluriformes, Ictaluridae.
GUUUGCCAAGAACUGGAGCCAAUACAAAACAAACGAAUACCUCAAACCAUCAGAUUGAUCAGAAACGCACAGAGGAGCGGUGUCGAAGCACAACCUAAAACAAUAACUCCGCAAUGUUUAACGUUUGGUGGAUUAAUAGAUAAACAUUGAUGUAAUCCAGGAUCAAGCUUAUUUCUGGAUUCAGUCCAGGAUGAGAUUAUUUUUUUUUUUUGGAUCCUAACAUAUGUGACUCUCUUUUCCUGAAAUCUCAAGCUUUUGAAGGUCAUGCAGUUACAGUAACAUCACCAUUUCUUCCUUAUCACGGAACAACCUGGAUGUUUCCUUGCAAUGCUGUCAUGCUGCGUUUGCUGAUGUCAUGAAGAUCUGAAGCACAGAGUGGCACAGACGCUCAGCACAAUUUUGGCUUUUUUUUUUCUUCUUUUUUUCUCCUCUCUAACAACUUCUUCAAAGACACCACUUCAAACCGUGGCAGGACGCAGCUCAGGACAUAUAAUCAGAGAGCGCAGGCCUUCCCACAGAGUGUAGGAGCUAAUGCCAGCGUGCCAAGGUCAGCCAUGCUGGAAGAGCUUCAAUAACAUCUGCUCAGCAAGAAACUGUUUCAGGAUUAAACACACAUAGCGAGAGAGACUUUCUGUUACAUCUUUGUAUUUUUAAAGAGGUUUAUAAUAAUGAGUGUCGGUUUGAGUUGAUUCAUUCGUUCAUUUUGCCAGGAUUGUCAAUAAUGCAGCAAUUUUUAUUGUGCAAUGCAUAAUGAGGAGAAAAUAAAAUUUGUGGAUCUUAAAGAGAUUUCCCAAAAGUACAAAUAAAAAAAGGUGACUAAAAUAAAACAGAACAACAGAGGAAAAAGAAAAAAAAGAAAGAAAAACUGACUUUCAGUCAGGGUCUGUAGCUUUCCACAUUAAAAUGGGAGUGUAUUGGAAGCAGUGCAUUGCUCAGUAACAGCUUUAUCCAGUUUAAAUGACUAAUUUGUUUAUAUUUUGGAAAAUAAGACGAAGUAAGUUUAGGAGAAAAUAUUAACUGUGGUAGAGGGUGGGAUUUGGAAUAAAAUCAAUUUUGGAGUUGUUCAGUGAGUCGGAUCAUUUGAUUCAGUGAAAGUCGACUCUUUCAGCUCCUAAAUGGUAUACUUUUGGACAAAAUUUGCAAUAUUUUAACCAGU